This 1300-nucleotide unclassified non-coding RNA is filed under the name Bombus terrestris (buff-tailed bumblebee). RNAcentral describes it as "misc RNA ENSBTSG00005035685.1". Lineage: Eukaryota; Metazoa; Arthropoda; Insecta; Hymenoptera; Apidae. The record is from RNAcentral.
AUAUAGCAAUUGUCUCAUACAGUGGAUGAAGAAAGCUUUAUUCUAACUGAAAUACAAAUUGUUAAUAAAUUACCUAUUUAAUUAAUAUUCAAUGUAAUAUGAUAUAUGAAUAUUACACAAAAAUCUUAAACUAAUAGAAUACCAAAUAUAUUAGGUCAUCCCAUAAGUUCGUGCCGAUUUUUGUGUAUACAUUUCAUGUGUCGAUUUAUAAACAUACGGCGAUAAGGGACCAAUGUACUUGAAAAAUGGGAAGAAGUUGUACAACGAGAGGAGGAUUACAUUUUUUCAUGAAACUGAAAGAUGCUGGCCUCGCAAGAGCUUGGACCAGCGUUGGAAUGCAAGGAAUUUAUCUGUAUACUUCGCGGACGCUUUCAAAAAUAAAACUUUUCCUCACCGACUAUCCACGAUCUGCGUUGCUUUUUGAUUGUGUUGGUACAUUUUCCGGCGAUUCACGUUUAAGAAGGUCGCUUAUUUUAUUUCAAACAAACUUUAGUUCAAUCUACCUGUUGAUUCAAGAGACUACUAUAUAUAGAUUACUAUAUAACAAUGUAAUAAAAUAACAUUGCACUUAUCGUUGCUCCACUAACUCUAAAACGCAAGAUUGUCGACCAAGUAGUCAGGAAUUCCAAGCAGUGGUUCUCAUCAACAACUUUGCGUAAAAUGAUUAAUCAAUCUCUCACAUUCUUCGUCAGUGGUUCUCAUAUUUUUAUUAUUUCAUUUCAUUUCUGCAACUAUACUGUUAAUAUAACGAAAAUAAUAAUAUUAUAAAUAAAAUGUAUAUAAACAAUAUAUUUAUAAUUUUGAUAAUCCAGAUUUUAUAACUAUUUUCAUAUAAAAUUGAACGCUAUUAAGGCAGUAUUAUGCGUACAUAUUUAAAAAUUUAAAAAUAUUGGAAAAUAUGGACAUUGAUGUUAACACGUAUUUAUUUCCAUGACUUUUUUUAGUAUUUUUCGAGCAAUGUGAUUAUAAUCGUAUAAACAAUUUUUCCUAAUGUCUUUAUACGAUGAAAAACUAUCUAUAUAACUUCGAAAUUGAUAAUUAUUUAUUUAAGUCAUUGUAGAUCUUUAUAUAAAUAAAUCUUUCUCGUAAAUUGGAUUCCAGUGAUUUGGAGAUUCAUUAAAAAUUGUGAAUACAAAAAUGUCCAGAAAUUGAAUUUUCCUUCCAUUACAUUUCAUAUUUUUUUACAUAUACACUAUCAAAUUUUAUAAAAUUAUCUUCCCUAAAAAAAGGCCACUUUUCCUAAGAUCAUUAAGUUUUUAGUUUGGUCAAAUAUUCAUUAUUACGUAAAUUAAUAAUUGUA